Molecule: long non-coding RNA, 625 nt
Organism: Mus caroli (Ryukyu mouse)
Lineage: Eukaryota; Metazoa; Chordata; Mammalia; Rodentia; Muridae
Source: RefSeq, a predicted model, not a curated record
UUGACACUUUGUCUCCUCCCAUUGGGGCGACUCCACCGGAUAAGAAAGGAAGCCCACAUGUUCAGACUGGUAGAAAUAAAGCUGGCCCAGGGUGCGAGCCAGGGCUCAGAGAAGCCGUGCCUGCUGCCAAGUCUGCUUUCGGUUUCUGGGCGUCUCCAUUUUGGGGACCCUAAGGUAUGCAGCGAAGUCUCUGAGACCUGAGCCUCUCAAGCGGCCACUUAGGGGCGGACAGAGGAGACAACAUUCUCAGCAUCCUGACUGGCGUGAACUAUGAUGUGAGCAAUAAAGACGACAGGAGGAACAAGGGAAAGCAGAUGCCACAGCCCUCCUUCACACUACGGAAGAAGCUCUUCUUCCCUCCCUACUGAUGUGUGCUCUCCACAGUUCACAUGGCUUAUCUGUGCACUUUUGUGUGGAUGAGUCUAAUUUAUUUUUUAGGAUUUCUUUUGCUUUUUAGGUUACACUUACAUCAUUUCCCCUUUUCCUCCCUUCAAAUCUUUCUAUGUAAUGUACCAAUUUCAAAUACAUGACCUCUUUUCUCAUUAAUUGUUGUACACACACACACACAUACACACACACACACACACACACGUUUUUAAAUAUAACCUACCCAGUCUGUAUACUA